Long non-coding RNA from Ictidomys tridecemlineatus (thirteen-lined ground squirrel), 1387 nucleotides. RefSeq lists it as uncharacterized. Lineage: Eukaryota; Metazoa; Chordata; Mammalia; Rodentia; Sciuridae. The record is from RefSeq and is a predicted model, not a curated record.
AAAAAAAAAAAAAAAAAAAAAAAACGGCUUUGCAAAAUUAUGGAGGCUGACCUCAAACUUGGGAUUCUCCUGCCUCAGCUUCCCAAGUUGUUGGGAUUAUAGGUGUGUCCCGCUGUGCCUAGCCAAUAUUACUUAUAUACUCAGAAAAAAAAAAUUAAAGUGCAAAAACUGGGAAAAAGCACCCAUGGCUGUUGACAAGUGACUGGGAUAAAUGACCCUGUUCUGGAGUUCAGCUUUUGCCAUCGUGUGCCAGGCCCUGCCCAAGGGUCUUUACAAGAUCUUCCAGCUGUUCAGAAGUGAGGGCAAGCUCAAUUCAGAUCACAGACAUCUAUUGAGUGCCUAUUAGCUGUCUGUUAAACACUUGCCACAAAUGUGAAGACAGCCCUUGCAUAUUGUUGGUAAUCUCAACAUUAGGGGAUGCAUGCUCCGUCUGAGACAUUUGAGGAAUUCUGUGGGAACACUUGGGAAACCUGAAAGUGUUUGGAAAGGGUUGAUACCGAAGAUUUCUUUACAUUUUUUUGUACUAUAUAAUUUAUUACAUUUUAAUUUUAUUUCCAACUUUUAAAAAUCAGUUCUGUGAGCUGAUGUAUUACAAGAACAGUUGAAUUCACAGUCUCACCAAGCUUCUCAGAUGUAGUUCUGGCUACUGAUUGGCAAUUAGUAGGAACUUGGAAUAGAGAUGCCAUGUUAGCUUUUUGUUCCUUAUAUAUUUUUUGAUUUUUAAAAAAAAAUAUAUUUUAAUGUUUUUUCUUAUUACAAAGAAGAAAAAAUUACAGUUAACUACUUCUAAUACUUUGGGGUAUGUAUUUUCAGUUAUUUUGACCUCUUUCUGAAUAUGAUAUUUAUACAUCAACAUGCAUAAAUGUGAUAAUACAAAUUUUUCUUUUGGUGUUUUUACAAAAAUAAGAAUUUAUGUGGACCUUGAAGAAUGGAUAGGAUUGGAUCAAGCAAAGAGGAGCUGCCUACAGAAGAAAAUGGCCUGAGAACAGUGCAAAGGCAAACGCUAUCUUAUCAUCAUUUUGAAAGGAAAUCUCUGGAGAAAAGAUUGGAGAACAACAUCGACUUGGUCCUAGAUGGCCUUGUCUGUCAGAAUAAAGCACUUGGUCCCUGGGGGAGAGUAAGACGUUUUAAGGAGAGAACCACAAGACAUUAUAAGGAGAGUUUUCAAAACUAAAGACACCAGGACCAGGAGUGGUGGAACAAAAACCUAUAAUCUCAGCAACUCAGGAGGCUGAAGCAAGAGGAUCGCCAAGUUUAAGGUCACCAAGCAGAGGGAAUCAAGUGUGAAUUCUUCCGACUCCUCCCACCUGCAGACUUCUCCAUCUGGCCAGCCCUUCCUUCCUCCAGUCUCAGAGAGGUGGGUGUUCUUUUCACAUUAGCUCUUGGC